This 203-nucleotide long non-coding RNA is filed under the name Manihot esculenta (cassava). RNAcentral's name for it is "long non-coding RNA (MESC_LNC011239)". Lineage: Eukaryota; Viridiplantae; Streptophyta; Magnoliopsida; Malpighiales; Euphorbiaceae. The record is from RNAcentral.
CAACAUAAAACUUACUUAAAACUUGCUUAACUUUGAAAGAUUUGAAGAAAAACCAUGAAAACCAUCCAAGGAGAACAAGAACUCACCUCUGUUAGUGAAAGGGAAGCAAAUCUUAUCCAUUUCACCGACUGAGGGUCCUUUAUAGCUGGCUGACCACCUCUCCUUCGGCGGCCUAACCUGCAUGCAAAACCAUGCAAUGUUCG